GUGGCGAGAGGAUUCAGUCUGGGGUGUCGGUUGUGCAGAUCGGAAAUAGAGCAGGGCUUCCCCGAGAGGGGGGAGUGUCUGGCCGCACGCAGUGCCUAUACACCCGACGUUUUUGUCUCUCACCCAAAGGAUGCCGUAGCCGGCUGGGUAGUGCAAACACGACGACCUGAGGGGUGGAAGAUGGCAGGUGACCGCUGGCGGGUCUUGUGUGCGUCGACGGUUGUUAGCCGUUCCGCCAGUGGUAUGUCCCCUGGCCGAGGUGUCGAGAGGCCCUUACAGGCCUCAACGUCCCCUCUUUUAGAGAUGCGGCUCAAAGUGUCACAGGGGAAACCCGUCGUCCCGUUCGCCCCCCUCCGGGGGGGUCGGGAAAACGGAGGGUGCUGUUGGAGAUGCCGGACCCGUUGGAGGUUGGAGGCUCGGGGAGAGUAGGGGGGUCCCCCCCCCGACCCGUCUUGAAACACGGACCAAGGACUAUAAUGUGCGCGCGAGUCAAUGGCUCUUGAACAGGCCCAUGGGCACAAUGAAAGAAAAGGGCGCUCUCCGCGCCGCGAGAGUGGAUAUCCCUCUCUCGGGGGGGCGCACAAACGGCCCGCUAUAUUCGUCUCCUCAAGUGGGGAGAUUUAGAGCGUACACUUUGGCACCCGAGAUAGGGAAAUAUAUGCCGGGAGGGAAGAGGCCAGAAAAAUCUCUGGGGGGAGGCCCGCAGCGUUUCUGACGUGAAAAUCGAUCGACAUAUCGGGCUCUAGGGGGAAAGAUUUUACCCCCCACAGAG
This 772-nucleotide ribosomal RNA is filed under the name Agelena labyrinthica. Its description in RNAcentral is "partial 28S ribosomal RNA". The stretch from base 348 to 772 matches the Rfam family "Eukaryotic large subunit ribosomal RNA", at positions 1 to 947 of the family's 3401-position model. The record is from RNAcentral. Lineage: Eukaryota; Metazoa; Arthropoda; Arachnida; Araneae; Agelenidae.